RNAcentral lists this ribosomal RNA (609 nucleotides) under Curtobacterium sp. Pd-S-(l)-l-D-5(12). RNAcentral's name for it is "bacterial SSU rRNA". It matches the Rfam family "Bacterial small subunit ribosomal RNA", at positions 216 to 836 of the family's 1533-position model. Lineage: Bacteria; Bacillati; Actinomycetota; Actinomycetes; Micrococcales; Microbacteriaceae. The record is from RNAcentral.
GGUUGGGGGAUGGACUCGCGGCCUAUCAGCUUGUUGGUGAGGUAAUGGCUCACCAAGGCGACGACGGGUAGCCGGCCUGAGAGGGUGACCGNCCACACUGGGANUGAGACACGGCCCAGACUCCUACGGGAGGCAGCAGUGGGGAAUAUUGCACAAUGGGCGCAAGCCUGAUGCAGCAACGCCGCGUGAGGGAUGACGGCCUUCGGGUUGUAAACCUCUUUUAGUAGGGAAGAAGCGAAAGUGACGGUACCUGCAGAAAAAGCACCGNCUAACUACGUGCCAGCAGCCGCGGUAAUACGUAGGGUGCAAGCGUUGUCCGGAAUUAUUGGGCGUAAAGAGCUCGUAGGCGGUUUGUCGCGUCUGCUGUGAAAUCCCGAGGCUCAACCUCGGGCUUGCAGUGGGUACGGGCAGACUAGAGUGCGGUAGGGGAGAUUGGAAUUCCUGGUGUAGCGGUGGAAUGCGCAGAUAUCAGGAGGAACACCGAUGGCGAAGGCAGAUCUCUGGGCCGUAACUGACGCUGAGGAGCGAAAGCGUGGGGAGCGAACAGGAUUAGAUACCCUGGUAGUCCACGCCGUAAACGUUGGGCGCUAGAUGUAGGGACCUUUCCAC